This 430-nucleotide ribosomal RNA is filed under the name uncultured bacterium. RNAcentral describes it as "bacterial SSU rRNA". It matches the Rfam family "Bacterial small subunit ribosomal RNA", at positions 355 to 776 of the family's 1533-position model. The record is from RNAcentral.
UGGGGAAUUUUGGACAAUGGGGGCAACCCUGAUCCAGCAACGCCGCGUGAGUGAUGAAGGCCUUCGGGUCGUAAAGCUCUGUCAAGUGGAACGAUGGGUUUCGAAGCUAAUAUCUUUGGAAUUUGACGGUACCACUGGAGGAAGUCACGGCUAACUACGUGCCAGCAGCCGCGGUAAUACGUAGGUGGCAAGCAUUGUUCGGAUUUACUAGGCGUAAAGGGAGCGUAGGUGGCUUUGUAAGUUGGAAGUGAAAUUCCACAGCUUAACUGUGGAACUGCUUCCAAGACUGCUUAGCUUGAGUAUAGGAGAGGAAAAUGGAAUUCCUGGUGUAGCGGUGAAAUGCGUAGAUAUCAGGAAGAACACCGGUGGCGAAGGCGAUUUUCUGGCCUAACACUGACACUGAGGCUCGAAAGCUAGGGGAGCAAACAGG